RNAcentral lists this transfer RNA (76 nucleotides) under Alphaproteobacteria bacterium. RNAcentral's name for it is "tRNA-Lys". It matches the Rfam family "tRNA". Rfam says of the family: Transfer RNA (tRNA) molecules are approximately 80 nucleotides in length. The record is from RNAcentral. Lineage: Bacteria; Pseudomonadati; Pseudomonadota; Alphaproteobacteria.
GGGCCCAUAGCUCAGUCGGUAGAGCAACUGACUUUUAAUCCGUAGGUCGCGCGUUCGAGCCGCGCUGGGCUCACCA